This 265-nucleotide ribosomal RNA is filed under the name Bouea macrophylla. Its description in RNAcentral is "4.5S ribosomal RNA". RNAcentral also lists the same sequence under 2 other names. Lineage: Eukaryota; Viridiplantae; Streptophyta; Magnoliopsida; Sapindales; Anacardiaceae. The record is from RNAcentral.
CUGCCCUUCCAUCCCUUGGAUAGAUAGAGAGGGGGGGCAGAGCUUUUGGUUUUUUCAUGUUGUCAAAGAGUUGAACAAUGGUUUUUCGUGUUGUCAAAGAGUUGAACAAUGAAAAUAGAUGGCGAGUGCCUGAUCGAAUUGAUCGAGUCAUGUAGGAACAAGGUUCAAGUCUACCGGUCUGUUAGGGUGCCUCAGCUGCAUACAUCACUGCACUUCCACUUGACACCUAUCGUAAUGAUAAACGGCUCGUCUCGCCGUGACCUUC